Molecule: long non-coding RNA, 2068 nt
Filed under: Sus scrofa (pig)
Lineage: Eukaryota; Metazoa; Chordata; Mammalia; Artiodactyla; Suidae
Description: lncRNA (ENSSSCG00040045897.1)
Source: RNAcentral
CUGCUCCUUGGGGCAUCUCGGGUGCCCUGGCUCCCGGCUCAGGAGAGGGCUCUUUUUUCUGAAAUGGCUCAUUAAUGCUUGCAUUCCAGAAGAGGAAGCCUCCACAGGCACCCCUCUGCCCCUGAGCAGGCCACAACAAAGGACCAGCUUCCGAGCAGGCAAACUAAUUAAAACCAGAGCUGCAGGGACAGAAUGACAAUAGAAGAGCUCUACUUGUAGCAUUAAUUUUCUACUAAAGAUCUCAUUAAAAAAAAAAAAUGCACCCAAAAAGGGGGAACUGUGGAGAAUUAGGGUGAGGCAGUUAGGGCUGGGGCAGUGCAGUUUUGUGCAUUGAUUCCAAAUGGUGAGAGUUAUUCCAGUGAUCCCGAUGUGUGAUUCUAAUUCUAUGCAGCCCAGGUUUGGGGCAUCCAACUUAGGAGAUGUUUGGGUUCAUUUUUAAGUAGUCUUUUCCCCUCCAGCCAUAAAAUCAAAUAAGAUAAAACCCUCUGACCUAGGUGUUAGUCUGAAUCUAUGGCUUAAAAAAAAAAUAAUCGGGGAGUUCCCUUUGCGGCUCAGCAGGUUAAGAACUCAGCUUAGUGUCCAUGAAGAUGCAGGUUCAAUCCCUAGUCUCGCUCAGUGGGUUAAGGAUGUGGUGUUGCCGUGAGCUGUGGUGUAGGUCGCAGGCGUGGCUUGGAUCCGGUGUUGCUGUACCUGUGGUGUUGCCUACAGCUCUGAUAUGACCCCUAGCCAGGGAACUAACAUAUGCCACAGGUGUGGCCAUGACAAAGAAAAUAACAUANUAAAACAAGGAGUUUGUAGGCUUCCAUUUUUCCCCUUGUUUCAAACAAUUUCAACGGACCGUAAUUCCUGGGGGGCCUAUGUUUCCCCUCCUCCUAUCAAAUCUUAACAAACAGAUAUUUUUCUAGUGAGCGGGUAGACGGCUUUCUGGCUGCACCUGUCCAUGAUCAUGAACAGGCGGGUGAGAGGUGAGUGCUACCAGUGAAUAUUAAAAACAACUCUAUCUGCCAUGAACACUCCCUAGAAAGCCGAUGGGGGUCCUGGGAAUUUCGGUGUUUGGAAAUUAUACAAGGUAUUCUGGAAGAACAUGAAAGGUAUCAUGGGUUGUUUUAGGGUCCAUUUCUGAUCAGAUCAAGUGUGUCCAAAAGGUUUUACUGUUGUGUGAAAUAAGGAGAGAAGAGCUCCCAUGUCUGGCUGUGCUUAAGCGUUUCUAGGUGUUGAGGCACUGCUUUGUUCUGAUGGUGCCAGGCUUAACAAAGGAAUAAAGAAGCAGGGUGGGAUCUCUCCUAAGCAGAAGUAGAGACAGAGGAGCUAUGGCUGAAGGGUGGCAUCCACCUCCACGUGAGCUGGGGGAGGGUGGUGAGAGGGAGCUGGGGCCAUAUAUCCUGGCCCCCUUGCCUCUGUUGACUGUGCUUCAUCCCUUGAUCCCCCCGAAGCUGCUCUUGAUUCUUUCUGGCCUGUUAGGAAUUCUUUAUUUCGCUUAGCCCUGUCUGCAGUUACUUUCUUCACUUUCUGGUUCAUUGCCUGGUCCCCUCCAUCUGUUUAGGGACAUGUCUCUUGUUUUCUGCUGCAUUCCAGGCACCUCCAGCAAUCUAGCAUCCAGUCAGGGGCCAGUAGCUAGUUGUUGAAUUAAAGAAAAUCCCUUCCCUCCUGACCAGACAGUUCACACAGCUAUUCCAGGAAACACUGCAUGACAUUAUGGUUUGUCUUUAUCUGAUACCCCUCCUCCAUGUUCCUAUAAAACGAUAGCAGAGGACAUUGUCCAAGGCUUACCUGACUCAAGAAUUUAAAAAAAAAAAAAAAAAGGAGUACCUGUUAUGGUGCAGCAGAAACGAAUCUGAUUAGGAACCAUGAGGUUUCAGGUUCGAUCACUGGCCUUGCUCAGUGGGUUAAGGAUCCGGCAUUGCCAUGAGCUGUGGUAUAGGUCGCAGACACGGCUUGGAUUCUGCGUUGUUAUGCCUGUCCGUGUUGCUGUGGCUGUGGUGUAGACCAGCAGCUGUAGCUCCAGUUUGACCCCUAGCCUGGGAAAUAAGGAGAAUGCUCCAUAUGCUGCAGGUAUGGCCCUAAAAAG